This 194-nucleotide ribosomal RNA is filed under the name uncultured Gammaproteobacteria bacterium. Its description in RNAcentral is "partial 16S ribosomal RNA". It matches the Rfam family "Bacterial small subunit ribosomal RNA", at positions 338 to 524 of the family's 1533-position model. Lineage: Bacteria; Pseudomonadati; Pseudomonadota; Gammaproteobacteria. The record is from RNAcentral.
CCUACGGGAGGCAGCAGUGGGGAAUAUUGCACAAUGGGCGCAAGCCUGAUGCAGCCAUGCCGCGUGUAUGAAGAAGGCCUUCGGGUUGUAAAGUACUUUCAGCGGGGAGGAAGGGAGUAAAGUUAAUACCUUUGCUCAUUGACGUUACCCGCUGAAGAAGCACCGGCUAACUCCGUGCCAGCAGCCGCGGUAAU